GGACUACUCGGGUAUCUAAUCCUGUUUGCUCCCCACGCUUUCGCACCUCAGCGUCAGUAUCGAGCCAGGAGGCCGCCUUCGCCACUGGUAUUCCUCCACAUAUCUACGCAUUUCACCGCUACACGUGGAAUUCUACCUCCCUCUCUCGUACUCUAGUUACCCAGUAUCGAAUGCAGUUCCCAGGUUGAGCCCGGGGCUUUCACAUCCGACUUAAAUAACCGCCUACGCGCGCUUUACGCCCAGUAAUUCCGAUUAACGCUCGCACCCUCCGUAUUACCGCGGCUGCUGGCACGGAGUUAGCCGGUGCUUCUUCUAAAGGUAAUGUCAGGGCUGAUACGUAUUAAGCAUCAGCUUUUCUUCCCAAUUGAAAGUGCUUUACAACCCUAGGGCCUUCUUCACA
This 400-nucleotide unclassified non-coding RNA is filed under the name uncultured Halieaceae bacterium. RNAcentral's name for it is "contains 16S-23S intergenic spacer region". The record is from RNAcentral. Lineage: Bacteria; Pseudomonadati; Pseudomonadota; Gammaproteobacteria; Cellvibrionales; Halieaceae.